UAAAGGCUUGGUCCUGACUUUUCUAUUGACUCUAGCCCGAUUUACACAUGCAAGUAUCCGCACCCCCGUGAGAAUGCCCCACUGCUUCCAUUAAUAAAGGAAGCAAGGAGCUGGUAUCAGGCACAGCACCCGCUGGCCCAAGACACCUUGUUUAGCCACACCCCCAAGGGACCUCAGCAGUGAUAGACAUUAAGCUAUAAGUGAAAACUUGACUUACUUAGGGCUAAGAGGGCCGGUAAAACUCGUGCCAGCCACCGCGGUUAUACGAGAGGCCCAAGCCAAUAGACAUCGGCGUAAAACGUGGUUAGGAGGACUCAGCAAUUAAAGCCGAACGGGCCCAGAACUGUUAAAUGUUUACGGGAGCCAGAAGAACAACAACGAAAGUGGCUUUACAACUUCUGAACCCACGAAAGCUAAGGCACAAACUGGGAUUAGAUACCCCACUAUGCCUAGCCCUAAACAUUGAUAAUCUUUACACUUUUAUCCGCCAGGGAAGUACGAGCAUUAGCUUAAAACCCAAAGGACUUGGCGGUGCUUUAGAACCCCCUAGAGGAGCCUGUUCUAUAACCGAUAUUCCACGUUGAACCUCACCUUUUCUUGUUAUUACCGCUUAUAUACCACCGUCGUCAGUUUAUCCCGUGAUGGUCUAUUAAUAGACAAAAUUGGCAUAGCCUAGGACGUCAGGUCGAGGUGUAGUGUACGAAAAGGGAAGAAAUGGGCUACAUUAUCUUCUUCAAAAGAUGCGAAUGACAGGAUGAAACACCUACCUAAAGAAGGAUUUAGAAGUAAGAGGGAA
RNAcentral lists this ribosomal RNA (796 nucleotides) under Oxymonacanthus longirostris (harlequin filefish). Its description in RNAcentral is "partial 12S ribosomal RNA". It matches the Rfam family "Bacterial small subunit ribosomal RNA", at positions 6 to 1348 of the family's 1533-position model. The record is from RNAcentral. Lineage: Eukaryota; Metazoa; Chordata; Actinopteri; Tetraodontiformes; Monacanthidae.